Long non-coding RNA from Schistocerca gregaria, 14387 nucleotides. RefSeq lists it as uncharacterized. The transcript has 5 exons. NCBI's taxonomy places the organism in Eukaryota, Metazoa, Arthropoda, Insecta, Orthoptera, Acrididae. The record is from RefSeq and is a predicted model, not a curated record.
UGCAUGACGUGGUUGUGACGUCAGAGUGUCGUUAAGUUCGUGUGACUGUGUGGUGUUGCUGCAAGUGGUGUGGAAAACUUGGGUCUAAAAUUGCAGAUAUGGGGGUUUCACUGCAAUUUAGGGACGUCGGAUUAAAGAAGCUGCAGACAGAGGAACUUGUCGAGUGGAUAAGUAAAGUCCGCUCUAAGAAAUCUACAAUGAAGAGAAAGCGUAGGAGGGAUCUAAGAGUGGAGGCGAUUUUGUCAAGCGCAUUGCUUAGGGCGGAACACGAACUUAAAAGCAAGCAGCAAGAACGCUACAGGCGUUGGCAGCGAGUGAAAGUGGAGCUUUGCAAGAAUUUGGAAACUUCUAGACAAAAGGUCACCAAUUCAGAUUGGGACUAUCAGGCAUGCGAUGAUAUUAACAGCUUUAAUAGUUUCAUGUCUAUGUUGAAAGAAGUGAAGAUAUCGCCGCAGAGAUGAUCAUAGGAGAUUUCAUCAUGGCGUCUCGUGACAGACGGUCCUGUGGUCUGUUGUGGCGGUAGAUCGCAACUUGAAGCAAAUGGCGUUGCGGUUUGUAAUGACGGGACUUCUGUAAUUUCAUUGGUUGAAAUACUUUUGUAAUUCAUAUUGAAUUGUACGUGCAUUCUACGAAUGUCUGUAACAUCGGUUGCAUAUUGAGUUUUUGUUAACUCUUAAAUGAAUGUUCCUUCAAAAUAAAAUUUGUAAAAUUUUUAAUUUUUGUGUAUGUAAAUUAUUCUUAUUUAUUAAAAAAUGGUUCUUUUGUCAGAUUACACAGGCCAACAUGGUAAAUGAAAUACGAGCAGUUCAGCUACUUAUUGGCGGAAAUGGUCGUGGAGUGUUUUUGCCGACGAAGUUUCAGCAUAAAUGGUUGGUUAAUACGUUUAAACUUUAGAUUAAUCAGAGUUAAAUGGCAUCUUGACAUCUUCUGUAUGAUGAAGACGUGUUCUAUGGCCAUUGCUCCUUAAUGGGUAUAUAUGACUUCUGGCAGUACUGGCUCACUGAAAGCAACGUUAUUGGUGCCUUGUGGAUGAAGUAAGGUGGAGUGUGAAACUGCACCAGCAUCAUGUACAUCUACAAGCACAAAUAUUCUCCAGUUUGUGGAUCGUUUAUUGAUGGCUAUAGGAUUUUUGUCACAUUUUUUCCAGUGAAUUGUGUGAGAGGCAGGGUUUUGUAAUGAUCCCAUGGAUUCUAAUGCAGGAAGCCAUAAUUUCUGUGAAAACUGGUGGAUGCUCAUUGAAUUCUAUAAGGAAACACACAUGGUCCUGUUGAUUGGCUAUUUCAGAAGAAUGAGGUAAUGAAGGCAGCAGCUUGUAGCUCAGAUAAAAUUUACUCUGUGAUUGAAUGUUUGUUGCAAGGGCAAUGCUGCUGGCUGGUACACAGCAUGCCAUGUGUCAAUGCAAUUAAUAUAAACCUGUUUGACUCUUUAUUCUCUGAACUUUGUAAUGUGUUUUGCCUGACAAGGUUCUUCAUGUCUCUAAAAUGGGAACACAGUGAGUGCACAAAGCACGAGAAAAAACUGAAAUUGGCAGAUGAGUGGCCCCUUCCAUUCAACUUGCUGAAACAUCAAUCACAAAGUUAUUUUAAUCGGUGCAAAGAAGUUAUACUUCUUUAAAGCUGGAGUAUUUAUUAAUGCAACAACAAUCAAUAUUUAUUUUGAUAAUUUCCUUCAAGUUUUUAUUGUGAUUUUAUUUCUAAUUUUCCUGCUGUAUUUGAAAAUUUUUGAAUUGACUUUUAUACUUGUGAACUGGCUUUUAUUGCAUAGUUUUUGUGAAUCACCCAUUCAUUGUCAGGACACCUGUUAUUACAAAGUAAUCCUUAAAAUUUGUGAUUUGUAACACUGUUUAGUUGCUAGUGUUAAAUCGUUGGUGUACUUCUUUGCUAACUGAAUGACAUCAAAAUAUAAUAGCAAAUACUUAUUUGCUGUUAGCAGAUGAAAUAAAGAAACUUCAUAUAAUGUAGUGUCUGUUGGAAAGUUAAGUUUAAGGAAACAAGCCGUGAUUUUUUUACUCUACACUACCCGUAGUAAAACCUUAGAUCUUGAACAAGACUUUAUUUUGUAGUUUGAUAAAAACAUAUGGUGACAAAUAUGUUGAAAGUAUCAAGAUGCUGCUUGUGUUGGUUGUAAAAAUUGGAGAUGUAAUGCAUUCGUGGAUGCAGCAUCUUGUUGUUAGGUAAGUACUUAAAAUUGUAAUACUGGCACUAGUUGGUGAGAGAAUUUCAAUUGACUAAAGCUUCUUGCAGCAUCAUCCCAUUUUAAAUGUAACAGUUCAGCAAAAAAAAAAAAAAAAUUGAUUUGUGUUGAAUAACUUGCACAAAAUUUGCUGGGGAAAGUGAGAGAUGGUACAACACAGGAAAGCAUGCUAUAUAUUAAAAAUGUGAAUGGAUGAAAUGAGGUAAUAUCUCAAAGCAAUUGAUGCUGUUCACUAUUAUGUGCAAAGAUUCCAUCAAUGUCACUAAGGGAGAAUGAUUUCCGUAUAUUGCUUAUGUCUCCAUAUGCCUGCCUGAGUGCAACCUUGUGCUUUUACUGGUAACACACCCUUUGAUAAAACAUUGGUCUGUUUCUCCAUAAACUGAUCACUGAUGGCAUUUGCACCAUUAAGAAAGGUUAACACAUUUUUGUAAUAAGUAGCUUCUGGAGAGUUUUGCAGCUGUAAAAGUUUGAUCACCUCUUGACAGUUACCAGGGCAGCUAGGGAAAUACAUUAGGUUUGGCUGAGUCACCAGUAGGUUCUGAGUUCAGCAGCCCCUAUUAUUUAAUUUCUUAGGCGUACUGCAUUAAUCAGUUUAGUACCAGUGGAGCAUUGGACACAUGUGCAUUUGACAGCAUAAUAAAAAUUAUAAAAAAAAGUUUAGUGAAAUGAUUUGUCUAAAAUCAAGAAAUAAAACACAUGAAAUAUUUGAUGUGAAUGUUGCUUGAAAUCAUGUAGAGCAAUUCAAACACUGAACCAAAGAUGUGGUUGAUAUUGUUAGGAAAAUCAUGUAUUUAAAUAUUUAAAAUCAUUAACAAAGAACUGUAGCAGCUGGGAUGUUCAUACAUCAGAUCUUGUCACGUGUGUUCUUUUCAGAUGUUUGAAAAAUUUUCUAUUGAAAAAUCUAAGACUGAAAAGUUGUUGAACUUCAUUAUUCCUCGGAUAGUGAUAGAAAUUUCAGGGCCACUGAAGACCAGACUGCAAAGUCUACAUAAUCCACCUGAAAAUUAUCGUUUAGUUCUCUUCAGAAUUCUUUGAUUCUACAUUAAACUUGGAAGCUUAGGUUCUCAAUCAGCACCUAAUUUGCUGUUCAAGCUUCAUUUAAAGGUCUGAUGUGUUUCUAAUCUGUUUUCUUACAUUUUUGCAAAUUAUUUCACAGAACAGACUUUUCAAGGUUUUGCAAUUUUUAUGUUUUGUUCAGAAAGCAUGAAAAAUAAAAAAUUUCAAUGUAGAUCAAAAAAAUUUCAAUGUAGAUCAAAAAAAUUUCAAUGUAGGUCAAAAAAAUUUCAAUGUAGGUCAAAAAAAUUUCAAUGUAGGUCAAAAAAAUUUCAAUGUAGAUCAGUGCUGUAUUAUUAAAGUUUGUAGGUCAAGAGAAAGCAAAUGAGGUAUUAACUGAAAUGUAAAGUUCAAUUUUAAGCUUAGUUUUAAAGAGUACUGGAGGCUUUUUGUCUGAUGGCUUUUUGUCUGAUGGCUUUUUGUCUGAUGGCUUUUUGUCUGAUGGCUUUUUGUCUGAUGGCUUUUUGUCUGAUGGCUUUUUGUCUGAUGGCUUUUUGUCAAUUCCCCAGUUUACUUUCUCCUAAUUAAAUCUUCUCCAGAAUUCUCUUCCUGCCAUGGAGUAUGCACUGAUUUGAAACUUUCUGGAAAAUUGAAACUUUAUGCCAUAUUGGGUAUCAAGCCUUUCGUGGGCAAAUUAUCAUAGACAGAGCUACUGAUGCACAACUCCCACUCACAGCUUUACUUCCACGAGUACCUCAUCUCCUACCUUUCAAACUAACUCUUAUGGAAUUUAAGAUAGGAUAUGGAAGUUCUUGUGGAAGUAAAGCUCUGAGAAAGGAUAAUGAAUUGUGCUUGGAUAGCUCAGUCCGUAUGGUACUUUUCGACAAAAAGCAAAGUUUUGAAUCCAUCUGCCAUGCAGUAUGACAGGAAGUUAGAAUUUGUUUGGCCAAACUGGAUCUCGUGCUGGUCAAUUUGACUGGCUAUGAAAAUUGUAGUGCACAAUUUGUAGGGAGUCCACUCCUUUGCACAAGGAUUGAAUUGCACAAGAAACUACGCACUGUGUCAUCAUGUAGCAUUGGAAACCUGAUUUAGGAAACUGAUUUUGCUAUGUGAAGUUAAGAAUGAUAAAAAGUAUCUACAUAUUGGCAGCGGUAGCUUAAUGAAUUUGCACAUCUGUGGCAUAGGUGGUCUAAUAGGCAACAGCCUGGGGACAAGGUCUGGUUUGUAUCUAGUUAAAACAAUUUUUUGUUACUCUAUUAAUUUGUUUAAUCUGUAGAAAUCACAAAGCUUAUAGAACAGUUCAGUUCUUAAGGUAUUUUAGGCCCUCUAAUAGGCACAACAUCAGACUUGUUUACCACUUUUGUGUCCAGAGGUGUUAAACAUUAAUUUGCAAGGAAGAGUAUCUGGAGAGGUGGGGGGUGCUAAAUGUUGCAAUUUUUACAAAUUAUUCUAUUAGUGUAUGUGGUGUGCUAUAGAAAAAUGCUGAAGAUUAGAUGGGUAGAUCACAUAACUGAGGCAUUGAAUAGAAUUGGGGAGGAGUUUGUGGUACAACUUGACUAGAAGAAGGGAUCGGUUGGUAGGACAUGUUCUGAGGCAACAGGUGAUCACAAAUUUAGCAUUGGAGGGCAGUGUGGAGGGUAAAAAUCGUAGAGAGAGAGACAGGUGAAUACACUAAGCAGAUUCAGAAGGAUGUAGGUUGCAGUAAGUACUGGGAGAUGAUGAAGCUUGCACAGGAUAGAGUAGCAUGGAGAGCUGCAUCAAACCAGUCUCAGGACUGAAGAUGACAACAACAUGUGAUGUGAUCCAUUUAUGUGAGUAACAGAUUCAUUAAACUCUAAAUUUCACUUGACGAAAUCAUGGAAAUUAUCAAAGAAAUUUAGACAACAGUAGAAUUAAAAUGGGAAGUAUGCACUUAUUCACCUCCCUGUACAAAAAGGUGACAGAAUGGGUGUCAACAAGUACUGUGGAAUUACACUGCCACCUACAUCUCUUCAUGCCUAUGGCAGAGAACACGAACAAAUUGAACACAAGAUUAGGGAGCAUAAAGUGGGUUUCGGACUCUGACAUUCCUACCCUGAAUAAAUUUUUAAUCUAAAAAUGUUGAAAUACAGAGCUAUUACACAUAAGCCCGCCAUAUGUACAUUCACAUGCUUCAAGAAGGUGUAUGACUGUCGACUGUAAAUCCCUUGUCAACACUCUAAUAGAACUCUGACUUGACCAGAAAACAUGUGAGCUUAUUGAACAGACACUCUCCAGCAUAACCUAUAAAGUAAAAUUCACGGGGGAAAUCUCAGAACUGGAGACAGACUAUCUCCAAUUUUGUUCAGUAUCAUGUUGGACAAGAUCAUAAGGAAUGGGAGAGUGAGCUUAGAAAAUGUGACCUAUGGAAACCAAUGAAGAUUGGAAGGUAAACUGAAGUCACCUGCCUAGCCUUCGUUUAGGACCUUUCAAUUAUGACACAGCGAACAAAAUGCAACACACCAAAUAGAAAUACUCGAGGAAUGCACCGAGAAGGUUGGCUUGCAAAUUUCUUUUGAGAAAAUGGAAUUUGUGUUCACCCUUAAACAUACAGAAUCUAACCACAAAAUAUGGAUGGAUAAACAGUUCCACAUUUUAAUUACCUAGGGAAAUUUUGGAACCCACCGGACUAGAAAAAUCUCAAAUUCGAGCACAGAAACUAAAGAGAGCCUAUGGUCAAAUGCACACACUUUACAACAAAAAAGUGUAUGUCCAUGCAUGCAAAAAUCACACUAGAGAACUGUCAUUAAACCUGAGGUGCUGUACGUAGCAGAGAACUUGUCACUCCGUAACAAGAUACUACUACAAAAUCUGCAAAAAAGAAAAAGGUCAUUAGGAAAAUCUGUGGACCAGAAAAACUGAAGCUGGAUAUAGACUGCAAACCAACGAAACUAGAGGGAAUUUCAAAUAUUGCUGCUGACAUUAGAUUAAGAUGCCUCAAAUUCUAUGGACACACACAGACUCCCUGACUAUCAUGCCAGAUACUCACAGCCAAUGAAAACCUUAAAGGUAUGACAUGGGCCAUACAAGUACGAAGAGACCUUACUGAUGCUCAGCUCGCCAUUCAGGACACUGUAGACUGUAAUAUCUACAGAUGCAAAAUAGAAAAGUGGGAAGUCCAGCCAGGGACAAGAGCCAAAAAUUCUGCUACAAAGUGGAUAGAUAAAGAAAGCAAGUCAUGAGCGAGAAAAUGGUCUCGUGGAAAAACUGCAGAACUGUACAAGCUUUGUGUGAUCCAUAGUGUGUGUGUGUGUGUGUGUGUGUGUGUGUGUGUGUGUGUGUGUGUGUCAGUAAUAUUUUUCAUAAGUGAUUUUCAACAAAAUUGUGUUAUGCUAGAAUAUGCAGAUGGCACCAAUACCUCCUAAGCUUUAACACUUCUGUGGUUGCAUUUUAGGGAAUAGACGUGCAAUAUAAUUGAUAGUAAAUUGGUUCAUUUAAGAAUGUACAGGUCUUUUUGUAGCUGGCUUGCAGUGUGGCACAAUAUAUUAUGUAGCAACAAAUUAGAGAUCUCAAUUCUAGAAAAACAGAAAGAUACAGUAUUGCCAGGAUUGGUAUAAAUGUAUUUUGUUAAUGUGGGUAUUUGGAUUGGAGAUGAAGGCAUUAUGAAACAAUGGAAAAAAUUGAAAUAGCAUUAAUCAUUCAGAAUUUUAUCUGGAGUUGUGGGACAGGAUUCCUGAUUUGAUAAGUGUAUGUCUGCACCAUCACAAAUGCUCUUUUUUAAAAGUUUGUUAGUGUCUUCAGGCAAAUUAAGAGUUGUAAUGUGCCACUAUUUAAUGGGAGUAACCAAAAAUUGUGAACACUGUCAUGGACUAGAAGUAAAUUUUUACUUUAAUCCAGAAAAUGGAGCUAGUUAACAUAACUGUGUUAUACAAAGCACAACUUCAGUCAGUUUAUUGAGACUGUGUUCUAAAUUAGCAUGAGACACUCUUGGCAACAUCACUAAAUCAGUAAUUGAUAAGAUAUUGUGCUUCAAUCACAGGUAUUAAUCAUACAUCAUAAUUAAACAGUAUUUGUUGAUGAAGGUGGUGGUGUAAAGGAGGGAAAGAAGAGACUGCAUGUUUCUCAGACUUCUUCAUAACAUAAUAAGAUCAAGGUAACUUUAAAAAGAGGAAAUGUGCUUAAAGAACAUUACUUGAUUUUGAACACAGAUCAGUACUUUGAUUGUGAGAGUGUUAACAAUAUAGCGGGUUGCAAAUGGGAACUUAAGUCGCGUUUCGUCUGUUAGAAGACUAGGUAAAAACAUUAAAUUGGCUUUAGAACAGGAUGGUGACAUUAAGACAAAAGAUGAAGGAAAAUUAAUUCAAAAUGGAAUGUCUAUCAAAUGAAGUAAAUUGCAUUAAACUGUCUCUUAACUGUUGUCACAAGAAUAAAUUACAGCACUAAGAUUUGUAGUGGACAUGUCAGUAGUGUGCAGGAUAAGGGAGAGGUCGAAAAUUGAACUGAAUUAUGAUUGCUAUCUUUCUUAUGUAUUAGUUGCUCUUGUUACAUAUGACUUGCACCCUGGAAGAUAUUGCAGAUCGUUUCACACUUAAGCAGAGGACUAGAAGAUAGGGGAAGAUGGAAGUAGUGAGUGGGCAGCAAAUUGUCAGGUUUCCAACCAUGGGAAUCUAUGCUGUGUACACUGGCUUUUUAGGAAUGUCUCCCAUAUAUAAACUGCCAUUUACAUACAUUUGACUUAACUUCAAAAUGGGACAAAUAGUCAACAAUAGUAUCAAUAUCUGCAGGAGACAGUAAAACUCCAGAUAGGGACUAGUGGCAGACUUGUUUCAUUCUGCGAUAUUGUCGACACUCGCCUUGAUGUAUGACAAGAACAAAAAGGGGCAUGUCAUCUGAUGGCUCUACACACCCAAUGAGAGUGCGGUGGGUGCAUGUGAUGGGAAGUGAGAGAGAUUGCAACAUUACCAAAUCUGGAUAGAAGUGAAAUCUGUUAUGUAUUCAGAUAAAAGCCAGUAUGUUCUCAUGUCCUCAGAAAUAGCUAUGUAUGUGAAAGAAGUGAUCAAAUAUAUGUGACAUCGGAGACAUAAAUUUCAGCGUGGUGGUGCCGGUGCAGCCGCCGCCACAGAUGGUAGUAAUUGAAAAGUCUAGAAAAAGACAUGGUACGGGAAUUGGAAAAUGACUCGGUACGGGAAUUUGUCAACCAAUAUCUUUCCAUCUAUUUUAUGCGUGUAGUUACUUUCCUUACAUGUUAAUGUUUUCCAUUUCACAGCUUUUUAAAUAUCGGGGAAAUUAGUAAUUCUACAGGUAAAGGAUCUGAUGCAAGUAGCAUACAAUGUGUGAAUACUUCAGACCGAAACUUUGAGGAAACUGUGAGUAGGUGGUUGGAGGAAUCAGAUGAUAGCGACUGUGACGAAAAUCCUGAAGAAAGAAACUGAACCCAUUGUGAGUGAGCAUGGCACUGUCAGGACAGUGCAACAGAAAAUUGCUCUGAUGAAAGUAGUGAGCCAUGUGAUGAGCUACAGAGAAGCAAUUACUUCUCUGGCAAGAAUCAGUACAAAUGGGCCAAAGCACAUCCGAUCUGAGCUGUUACAACGCCUCGCCAUAACAUCAUGAAAUUUCUACCUACCACGUUGACUACAGGAGAUCCUAAAGACCCAUUUUCAUUAUGGCAUAUAGAUUUCGAUGACUAAGUUCUCGAUCACAUCCUACUAGGGACAAAUGCUAAAAUAGAUUGCGUCAGGCAGAAGUACUCUCGACAAAAGCAAAGCUGAACUUCAGGACCUGGAUUUGGGUGCACUUUUGACUUUUUUUAGGACAUCUGGUAAAUUCUGUUUUUAAAUCCAACCACGAAAAUGUAAAUUAAUGUGCUAUUUUCAAAUGUGCCAUGUCUAGGAACUGUUUCCUAAUGUUGUUCAACUGUUUACGGUUUGGUGGCUUUUGAAAUAGUGUCUAAAAAUUGACAAAAUGGCAGCAGCCUCAUUUCCCUUUAGAAAAAUUGCUGUUGCGGUAGUGCGAAUGGCUGAAAGCAAGGGGAAACUACAGCCGUAAUUUUUCCCGAGGGCAUGCAGCUCUAGUGUAUGGUCAAAUGAUGAUGGCGUCCUCUUGGGUAAAAUAUUCCGGAGGUAAAAUAGUCCCCCAUUUGGACCUCCGGGCGGGGACUACCAAAGAGGACCUCGUUAUCAGGAGAAAUAAAACUGGCAUUCUACGGAUCGGAGCGUGGAAUGUCAGAUCCCUUAGUCGGGCUGGUUGGUUAGAAAAUUAAAAAAGGGAAAUGGAUAGGUUAAAGUUAGAUAUAGUGGAAAUUAGUGAAGUUCAGUGGCAGGAGGAACCUGACUUCUGGUCAGGCGAAUACGGGGUUAUAAAUACAAAAUGAAAUAGGGGUAAUGCAGGAGUAGGUUUAAUAAUGAAUAGGAAUGCGGGUGCGCUGCUACAAACAGCAUAGUGAAUGUAUUAUAGUGGCCAAGAUAGACACGAAGCACAUGCCUACUACAGUAGUACAAGUUUAUAUGCCAACUAGCUCUGCAGAUGAUGAUUAAAUUGAAGAAAUGUAUGAUGAGAUAAAAGAAAUUGUUCAGAUAGUGAAGGGAAUCGAAAAUUUAAUAGUCAUGGGUGACUGGAAUUUGGCAGUAGGAAAAGGGAGAGAAGGAAACAGGUUAAUAUGGAUUGGGGGCUAACAAAUGAACGAGGAAGCCGUCUGUUAGAAUUUUGCACAGGAUAACUUAAUCAUAGCUAACACUUGGUUCAAGAAUCAUAAAAGGAGGUUGUAUAGAUGGAAGAAUCCUGGAGGACAUUUCCAGGGGCAGAUGUGGACUCUGACCACAAUCUAUUGGUUAUGAACUGUAGAUUAAAACUGAAGAAAUUGGAAAAAAGUGGGAUUUUAAGGAGACGGGACCUGGAUAAACUGACUAAUCCAGAGGUUGUACACAGUUUCAGGGACAGCAUAAGGAAACAAUUGACAGGAAUGGGGGAAAGAAAUACAGUAGAAGACGAAUGGGUAGCUCUGAGGGAUGAAGUAGUGAAGGCAGCAGAGGAUCAAGUAGGUAAAAAGACGAGGGCUAGUAGAAAUCCUUGGAUAACAGAAGAAAUAUUGAAUUUAAUUGAUGAAAGGCGAAAAUAUAAAAUGGAGUAAAUGAACCAUGCAAAAAGGAAUACAAACGUCUCAAAAAUGAGAUCGACAGGAAGUGCAGAAUGGCUAAGCAGGCAUGGCUAGAGGACAAAUGUAAGGAUGUAGAGGGGUAUAUUACUAGGGGUAAGAUAUACUGCCUACAGGAAAAUUAAAGAGACCCUUGGAGAAAAGAGAGCCACUUGCAUGAAUAUCAAGAGCUCAGAUGGAAAUCCAGUUCUAAGCAAAGAGGGGAAAGCAGAAAGGUGGAAGGAGUAUAUAGAGGGUCUAUACAAGGGAGAUGUACUUGUGGACAAUAUUAUGGAAAUGGAAGAGGAUGUAGAUGAAGACGAAAUGAGAGAUACGAUACUGCGUCAAGAGUUUGACAGAGCACUGAAAGACCAGAGUCGAAACAAGGCCCCGGGAGUAGACAACAUUCCAUUAGAACUACUGACGGCGUUGGGAGAGCCAGUCCUUACAAAACUCUACCAUCUGGUGAGCAAGAUGUAUGAGACAGGCGAAAUACCCUCAAGACUUCAAGAAGAAUAUAAUAAUUCCAUUCCCAAAGAAAGCAGGUGCUGACAGAUGUGAACAUUACCGAACUAUCAGUUUAAUAAGUCACAGCUGCAAAAUACUAACGCGAAUUAUUCACAGACGAAUGGAAAAACUGGUAGAAGCCGACCUCGGGGAGGAUCAGUUUGGAUUCCGUAGAAAUGUUAGAACACGUGAGGCAAUACUGACCCUAUGACUUAUCUUAGAAGGAAGAUUAAGGAAAGGCAAACCUACGUUUGUAGCAUUCGUAGACUUAGCGAAAGCUUUUGACAAUGUUGACUGGAAUACUCUUUCAAAUUCUAAAGGUGGCAGGGUAAAAUACAGAGAGCGAAAGGCUAUUUACAAUUUGUACAGAAACCAGAUGGCAGUUAGAGUCGAGGGCAUGAAAGGGAAGCAGUGGUUGGGAAAGAAGUGAGACAGGGUUGUAGCCUCUCCCCGAUGUUAUUCAAUCUGUAUAUUGAGCAACAGUAAAGGAAAGAAAAGAAAAGUUUGGAGUAGGUAUUAAAAUCCAGGGAGAAGAAAUAAAAACUUUGAGGUUUGCUGAUGACAUUGUAAUUUGUUAACAUCUAGUAUAGAGUUAAGUGUCAGGAAGUCAUUUCUGAAAGUAUUUGUAUGGAUUGUAGCCAUGUAUGGAAGUGAAACAUGGACAAUAAAUAGUUUGGACAAGAUGAGAAUAGAAGCUUGUGAAAUGUGGUGCUACAGAAGAAUGUUGAAGAUUAGGUGGGUAGAUCACAUAACGAAUGAGGAGGUAUUGAAUGGGAUUGGGGAGAAGAGGAGUUUGUGCAACUUGACUAGAAGAAGGGAUCGGUUGGUAGGACAUGUCCUGAGGCAUCAAGGGAUCUCAAAUUUAGCAUUGGAGGGCAGCAUGGAGGGUAAAAAUCGUAGAGGGAGACCAAGAGAUGAAUACACUAAGCAGAUUCAGAAGGAUGUAGGUAGCAGUUGGUACUGGGAGAUUGAGCAGCUUGCACAGGAUAGAUUAGCAUGGAGAGCUACAUCAAACCAGUCUCAGGACUGAAAACAACAACAAUAAGUUUUGACAUUUAAAAAGUAGUUUACUUGUUAGAAAGUUUGGAUGAUAAGAAGAAAAUUGUCAGUUGCUGGCAGUUUUUAAUAUGUACUCAAAUUUGUUGAAGGAAAAAUAAUAAAAUGCCUGUAAACGCAGUAGGUAAUAAGUGACAAUAACAAAUGUAGUAGAACCAACAUUUUAUUGUUACUCACAUAUAGUCUUUUUUUACACAAUUCUUCCCCAUCUUAAACUUCUUCCAUGAGCCUAAUUUUUUCUGAGGUUAGUUUUUAAAUCGGAGAAGAUAUUUUAAAUCGGUCUUGCGACUCCAAGAAAAAGUGUGUUUUUGUCACCAAAUGUUUCAUUUUGUUGAAAUAAAACAUUAGUGGUCUUAAUGAAAACACACACACACACACACACACACACACACACACACACACACACACACACACACCAUUUGGCUUGCAUUCUCCAGCUUAACAGUUCUUCACAACAGAUGUUUUUAGUGCUUAAGAUUUUUGUUCACAUCAGGAAACACCAUCUGCUUACAAGUUUUUUUAUAGAUAUCUCCUCGUUUGCACUAUUGUUUCUUGUUGCGAACAAGAGUUUGUUAACUUACUGUUGGGAUCUCAAAAUUUGUCAGGGAAAAAUGUUAAAACUUGUCAGGGAAUAUCAUUUGGGGAAACUUGCAUCAAUCCUGAGUCUAUUUUAGUGACACAGUUGAGCAAUUUGAAAAUAGGUACCUGUGUGAUUGAGUUAUUAUGUAAGUUUCUUAACGGCUCCUAAGCUUGAUGGCUGCUGUGUUCAAAUCAGUUUGUCAUCAGCUUUUUCUGUAGAUCGUCCUGAGAUUCAGGCAUGCUGUUUGAAGAGCAUGCUCACUAAGAAGCCCUUCAUUGAGAAGCUUAUAACAUUCUUUUAUCGUGACAGCUGAUUGAGCUGUUCUCUUUUAAGUAGCUUCUUCUGCAGUUUUUGGUACAGUUGUGUUUGUUUAAUAUUUGAGUGCAUUUGGAGUUCAAAUUAAGUGUGUUUGGAGAGAUUGUGCAAUUUUUCGUCAAACGUAAAGAAAUGUUCUUCAUCUCUGUCUUUAAGUUAUUCUUCCUCUUGAAUUAAAUCAUCCCGGGGUAUUCUGAAGAAAUGAUCUGCCACGUAAUUUGUCUAUGUUGAAAACUUGAUAUACAUGCACCUCUCUCUCUCUCUCUCUCUCUCUCUCUCUCUCUCUCUCUCUCUCUCUCUCUCUCUCUCUCUCUCUCUCUGGGAAUUGCUGCAUUAUGCAUUCACUUACUAAGUUUGUCUGGAUAGUUUGCUGUGCCACAUUUUGUUGUUAAGUAGAGGAAGUAGUUUACUACUUGGAUAAUGAUCCUUGUUUGUACUGUCAUAAGUUACUGUUUGGGGGGGGGGGGGGGGUUAAAAUUUCCCAUCACAGUAGUUCUUAAUCUACAUGUAUGUAAACAGAUGUAUGGAGACAAUAUCCAACAAUGUUGGUUUGUAUGGGAAGACAUUGUGUAGGUCUUGUUUUAUAAAAAUAGCACUACCAUAUUGACUAGUCUGUCAUCCACUAGCAACAUUCCUGGAGCAGUUGAAGUCUUUGUAAGUCAUCUCUGUAUGUUCCUUUCAUUAAAAAUGUCUUGAAUGAAUGCAUAAAAUGUAUUUAUCUCAGCCCAAAUUGUGUAAUGUUUGUCCUAUGACAGAAGUACUUUAUAGAAUUAUGAACACAAAACUGGGUUUCAAAAACUGGUUUCACUUUUGUAUUUGAAAUAGGUUUUGUUUGUGAUUGCUUUUGUAAGGCACUUGAAUGUUGUAACUUUUAACUCUUUGGAGAUGUUCUGCACCAUUAACUAGUGGCAUAAGUUUCUUGUUUCGAUUGUGGCUGAUAAGUGGAUUUUGCCAGAAAUUGGUGACUAAGUUCCUAAAUAAAAUUUCAUUAGGACAAAUCAGAUUUUGGCUGUGGUUUUUCGCUCUGUGAUGCAUUAAAACAGUCCCUGUGAUGUGGAUGUUGAUCACCGAAUUUUAAUAAUAAGAUGCAUAAGCUAUGAUUUUCCAAUGUGUCAGGACUCAGAUUUUUGUUGAACAGGAGGUACAUUGAUGGCACAUGAACAUGCUGGAUAAUAAGCGUCUUCCAAGUGGUGCCGUUCCUGUUGCAGUGUCAUUGUGUUGGGUUUAAUAAAUGUUAACAUAUUGAAAGUGAUACAGAAUUUUAUCAUUAAAUUUUAUUGCUUGUUAGGCAUGGCAUAUUACUUACACUAAUUUUUAAGUGGUCAUUCUCAGUUAAAAACUUCAAUGUUUAUUUUUGUAAAAGUCCAGUGAACUGAAUAUUUAUAGAGUAGUUUACAGUAAAACAAAGAACUCUGUAGCCCAGUAGGUCUUGUGGUGUUAAAAUAAAUGGAUUUGAAACUGGCCAUUAGUAAUUAUAUAUUGUCUGCAAUCUACUGAAUGCUGGAUUUCUGUUAACAAACCAAUUUAAUUUUUGUGAUGGAAUGUGAAAUAUAUUGUAUAUAAUUUUUAUGAAAUAUCCAGAGAUGACACGAUCUUGCACUUCUAUAUUAUUUACUAUAUACAUCUUUAAUAAAGACUAGUGCAGUAUGUACCGCA